CUCUAAGGCUAAGAUGAUAUUUUUCAUGGAAAAUUCUCGUACAUAUUGUUUUAAGGAACAGAUUGAUUGGUUAUUUGGCAAGGCAAUGAGGUGUUCUGUGCAAAAAGAAUUGAUGGCUUAUAUAGUCCCUCUGUUUUCUGAUUUUUCUUGUUCUGGUCCCUUUAGAUAAUUGUUUUGCACAGAAUGCCUUUUAUUGCAGCCAUGACUUCUCAUGUUCUUUACCUAUGAUCGUAUGGUAAAAAGGGAAUCCUAGCCUCACCGUGUUCCUUUUAUUGAAAUGCGUUGGAAAUUAAGGAUAUGGUCAAGGUUUCUUUACUGUUAUUGUUUUGUCAUGAUCUUCCUCUCUUUUUUUCCUAUAAAAUGAAAGGUACUGCACUGAGGCUAAGAUGAUAUUUUUCAUGGAAAAUUCUCGUACAUAUUGUUUUAAGGAACAGAUUGAUUGGUUAUUUGGCAAGGCAAUGAGGUGUUCUGUGCAAAAAGAAUUGAUGGCUUAUAUAGUCCCUCUGUUUUCUGAUUUUUCUUGUUCUGGUCCCUUUAGAUAAUUGUUUUGCACAGAAUGCCUUUUAUUGCAGCCAUGACUUCUCAUGUUCUUUACCUAUGAUCGUAUGGUAAAAAGGGAAUCCUAGCCUCACCGUGUUCUUUUUAUUGAAAUGCGUUGGAAAUUAAGGAUAUGGUCACGGUUUCUUUACUGUUAUUGUUUUGUCAUGAUCUUCCUCUCUUUUUUUCCUAUAAAACGAAAGGUACUGCACUGAGGCUAAGAUGAUAUUUUUGAUGGAAAAUUUUCGUACAUAUUGUUUUAAGGAACAAAUUGAUUGGUUAUUUGGCAAGGCAAUGAGGUGUUCUGUGCAAAAAGAAUUGAUGGCGUAUAUAGUCCCUCUGUUUUCUGAUUUUUCUUGUUCUGGUCCCUUUAGAUGAUUGUUUUGCACAGAAUGCCUUUUAUUGCAGCCAUGACUUCUCAUGUUCUUUACCUAUGAUCGUAUGGUAAAAAGGGAAUCCUAGCCUCACCGUGUUCCUUUUAUUGAAAUGCGUUGGAAAUUAAGGAUAUGGUCAAGGUUUCUUUACUGUUAUUGUUUUGUCAUGAUCUUCCUCUCUUUUUUUCCUAUAAAAUGAAAGGUAGUUCAUGGAGGCUAAGAUGAUAUUUUUGAUGGAAAAUUCCGUACAUAUUGUUUUAAGGAACAGAUUGAUUGGUUAUUUGGCAAGGCAAUGAGGUGUUCUGUGCAAAAAGAAUUGAUGGCGUAUAUAGUCCCUCUGUUUUCUGAUUUUUCUUGUUCUGGUCCCUUUAGAUAAUUGUUUUGCACAGAAUGCCUUUUAUUGCAGCCAUGACUUCUCAUGUUCUUUACCUAUGAUCGUGUGGUAAAAAGGGAAUCCUAGCCUCACCGUGUUCCUUUUAUUGAAAUGCGUUGGAAAUUAAGGAUAUGGUCAAGUUUUCUUUACUGUUAAUGUUUUGUCAUGAUCUUCCUCUCUUUUUUUCCUAUAAAAUGAAAGGUAAUGCUCUGAGGCUAAGAUGAUAUUUUUGAUGGAAAAUUCCGUACAUAUUGUUUUAAGGAACAGAUUGAUUGGUUAUUUGGCAAGGCAAUGAGGUGUUCUGUGCAAAAAGAAUUGAUGGCGUAUAUAGUCCCUCUGUUUUCUGAUUUUUCUUGUUCUUGUCCCUUUAGAUAAUUGUUUUGCACAGAAUGCCAUUUAUUGCAGCCAUGACUUCUCAUGUU
Molecule: long non-coding RNA, 1706 nt
Organism: Populus trichocarpa (black cottonwood)
Lineage: Eukaryota; Viridiplantae; Streptophyta; Magnoliopsida; Malpighiales; Salicaceae
Exons: 3
Source: RefSeq, a predicted model, not a curated record